Molecule: ribosomal RNA, 160 nt
Filed under: uncultured bacterium
Lineage: Bacteria
Description: partial 16S ribosomal RNA
Rfam family: Bacterial small subunit ribosomal RNA
Source: RNAcentral
UAGGGAAUCUUCCGCAAUGGACGAAAGUCUGACGGAGCAACGCCGCGUGAGCGAAGAAGGCCUUCGGGUCGUAAAGCUCUGUUGUUAGGGAAGAACAUGUACGAGAGUAACUGCUCGUACCUUGACGGUACCUAACCAGAAAGCCACGGCUAACUACGUG